This 253-nucleotide ribosomal RNA is filed under the name uncultured bacterium. RNAcentral's name for it is "partial 16S ribosomal RNA". It matches the Rfam family "Bacterial small subunit ribosomal RNA", at positions 524 to 776 of the family's 1533-position model. The record is from RNAcentral.
UACGUAGGGGGCAAGCGUUGUCCGGAUUUACUGGGCUUAAAGGGUGCGUAGGCCGCGCGGAGGGUGGGAUGUGAAAUCCCCCGGCUCAACCGGGGAAUAGCGUCCCAAACCGCCGUGCUCGAGGGAGACAGAGGUGAGCGGAACUGAUGGUGGAGCGGUGAAAUGCGUUGAUAUCAUCAGGAACACCAGUGGCGAAAGCGGCUCACUGGGUCUUUCCUAACGCUGAGGCACGAAAGCUAGGGGAGCGAACGGG